AUGAAUUGAGGGUAGAAAGGUUCCUACCGCACCUCAAAAGGUAUAUCCUACCAAAAAGAGGUACCUGAGAUGACGAGGUUACUGAACGUCCAAUUGAU
Molecule: non-coding RNA, 98 nt
Filed under: unclassified sequences
Description: skipping-rope RNA
Rfam family: skipping-rope RNA
About the family: Firmicutes, Fusobacteria, AlphaProteobacteria, Spirochaetes.
Source: Rfam by way of RNAcentral